This 160-nucleotide unclassified non-coding RNA is filed under the name uncultured Pseudeurotiaceae. RNAcentral's name for it is "sequence contains ITS1". The record is from RNAcentral. Lineage: Eukaryota; Fungi; Ascomycota; Leotiomycetes; Thelebolales; Pseudeurotiaceae.
UUUAUAACUUGCCCUCCGGGGUAGAUCUCCCACCCUCUGUUUACAUACUUUGUUGCUUUGGCAGGCCCGUCUUCGGACCGCCGGCUUCGGCUGGCCCGUGCCUGCCAGAGGAUUCAAAACUCUGAUAAUUAUGUCGUCUGAGUACUAUUAUAAAUAGUUA